GCAAGUCCAAGUACACGUCCUUGAACGACGGAAACUGCGAACGGCUCAUUAAAUCAGUUGCGAUCUACUCGGCGUUCCGCGCCGCCGGAUAACCGUAGUAAUUCUAGGGCUAAUACGUGCGAAGCGCCCGAAGCCGCGAGGCGACGGGCGUUCUCGCCGGAUGUAGGAACCGACCCGGGGACCGCCGGGGCAACCCGGCGCCCCCGAGACGGGGCGAACCACGGUGAAAUGACGGAUCGUCGGCCCCGCGCCGGCGACUCGCCGAAUGAGUUUCUGACCUAUCAACUCGAGACGGCGGGGGUAGAGGCCCGCCGCGGUAACGACGGUAACGGGGAAUCAGGGUUCGAUUCCGGAGAGGGAGCCCGAGAAACGGCUACCACUUCCAAGAAGGCAGCAGGCGCGCAACUUACCCUAAUCUCGAUUCGA
RNAcentral lists this ribosomal RNA (426 nucleotides) under uncultured eukaryote. RNAcentral describes it as "bacterial SSU rRNA". It matches the Rfam family "Eukaryotic small subunit ribosomal RNA", at positions 53 to 459 of the family's 1831-position model. The record is from RNAcentral.